This 620-nucleotide ribosomal RNA is filed under the name uncultured fungus. RNAcentral's name for it is "eukaryotic LSU rRNA". It matches the Rfam family "Eukaryotic large subunit ribosomal RNA", at positions 40 to 647 of the family's 3401-position model. The record is from RNAcentral. Lineage: Eukaryota; Fungi.
AUAUCAAUAAGCGGAGGAAAAGAAACUAACAAGGAUUCCCCUAGUAACGGCGAGUGAAGCGGGAAGAGCUCAAAUUUAAAAUCUGGUUUGCUUGCAAAUCCGAGUUGUAGUCUGAAGAAACGUUUUCCAUGAAAGCUGAGGCACAAGUCCUUUGGAACAGGGCGUCAUAGAGGGUGAGAAUCCCGUCCUUGACAUGGACUACCAGUGCUUUGUGAUAUGUUUUCAACGAGUCGAGUUGUUUGGGAAUGCAGCUCAAAAUGGGUGGUAAAUUCCAUCUAAAGCUAAAUAUUGGCGAGAGACCGAUAGCGAACAAGUACCGUGAGGGAAAGAUGAAAAGCACUUUGGAAAGAGAGUUAAACAGUAUGUGAAAUUGUUGAAAGGGAAACGAUUGAAGUCAGUCGUGUCUAUUGGACUCAGCCGGUUCUGCCGGUGUACUUCCUUUAGAUGGGGUCAACAUCAGUUUUGAUCGCUGGAAAAGGGCAGGAGGAAUGUAGCACUCUCGGGUGAACUUAUAGCCUUCUGUCGCAUACAGUGGUUGGGACUGAGGAACGCAGCUUGCCUUUAUGGCCGGGAUUUAUCCACGUACAAGCUUAGGAUGUUGACAUAAUGGCUUUAAACGA